UACGGAGGGAGCUAGCGUUGUUCGGAAUUACUGGGCGUAAAGCGCACGCAGGUGGCUGAGUCAGUCGAUUGUGAAAGCCCUGGGCUUAACCUGGGAAUUGCAGUCGAUACUACUUAGCUAGAGUAUGGGAGAGGGCAGUGGAAUUCCCGGUGUAGCGGUGAAAUGCGUAGAUAUCGGGAGGAACAUCAGUGGCGAAGGCGGCUGCCUGGCCCAAUACUGACACUCAGGUGCGAAAGCGUGGGGAGCAAACAGG
RNAcentral lists this ribosomal RNA (253 nucleotides) under uncultured bacterium. Its description in RNAcentral is "partial 16S ribosomal RNA". It matches the Rfam family "Bacterial small subunit ribosomal RNA", at positions 524 to 776 of the family's 1533-position model. The record is from RNAcentral.